AGGGCUGCUGUGGUUUGCUGGAGGUUCAUUUCAGGCCCUAUUCAUCAGGAGCGCUCCUGCACUUGGAGAUGUCACUCAAGGAGGCUGGAGAACAGCAAAGGAGACUGGAGGGACCCAUGGAUCCCAACCAUGGACUGGGUUCCCCUUGUAUGAGCCAUGAUCCAGUUGAAUCUGAAUGCGAAGAUGGAACGAAGACCAACCAGAGUCAUCAUGCUUAAUGGACCAAUGCUUUCUGACUCAGCUCCUCUCUACCCUGAAUACAAGAGACGCUAAUAGUUAGGCAGCAGUAUCAUCGCCCCUAUUCAGCAUGAAGAAGUUACAGAAGACGGACCUUCACUCUUCUGCAACCCCUAGGAUUCAGGGUCCUCUUAUAAAAGAGAAAGGGGAGAUAUGUGGGAAGCAUUCAAACCAGAGAGACUCCAGUUUGAAUAAGGGCUAAGAAAAGUGAAGCUGGAUCACCAACCAGCAAUUAAGGGCUGCACAGCCUGCAAUCGCCUUGCUCAAUUAAAAGAGGUCACCUCUCAUGCUAGUAAUAAUGUUACCUUCUCUUUUACAAAAAAGAGAAGUGGGGCAUGUUGGGAAAAAGCUGAGUGUUGGGAGGGAAACCAAGGCAGGGCUUGCAUAAUAUCCUCUGGAAUGUGACUAGACUUGCUGACUCCUUGCUUCUAGCCCUCCUAGGCUCCUAUUCCCAUUAUCUCAAGCAGCAGAACAUGUUCCUUAUAAAUGCUAAACCAUCACAGCUGUAGACCAUGCACCUGCCCUUUUGACCUCCCCAUUCUCAUCACCUGUUUCUCUGUUGGAUUACCAAUAAAUAGCAUGGGCUC
RNAcentral lists this long non-coding RNA (824 nucleotides) under Homo sapiens (human). RNAcentral's name for it is "HSALNT0172771". Lineage: Eukaryota; Metazoa; Chordata; Mammalia; Primates; Hominidae. The record is from RNAcentral.